This is a long non-coding RNA of Pan paniscus (pygmy chimpanzee), 849 nucleotides long. NCBI's taxonomy places the organism in Eukaryota, Metazoa, Chordata, Mammalia, Primates, Hominidae. The record is from Ensembl.
CCCAUCCCUACCCCCAGUCCCCCCGCAGGAAGUGAGCCCAGCCUUCCCUUGACCGAGCCCCCUACCCCUAACUACCAUUCACGCUUGGACAGUUGUAGCGGGGGCGAAGAGGAGCUGCUAACCCCCUGGUGGGUGGGGGAGAGGGUCAGUGGGAAAAGAGCCCCGGGACAACCACCCGCACCCCUACAGGAGUCAAAGGGAAGAGAAGGAAGACAGUUAAUUCUGGGACAAGCAAAAAGAACGGUUUUGGAGUCACGGGGGCGUUCCUGCACAAAGGACUUGGAUGUUGUGUUUUGUCUUCUUUUCUGGCGUUUUUCGUUCCCAGCUUUGAAGUCGGGUUCAGACCUCCUGGAGACCAUGGACUGAGCGGAGGGGUGGGGGUAGCAGAACCCGGAAGCCGCGCUGGCCCCUCCUCAAUCGCUCCCACACUCUCACAUGCCCAAGGCCAGUCUGUGUGGACACCGAACGCGCCAAGCCGGAUCCAGGCGAGAGCGGCCACUCGGACAGGUGGGGACCAGGGGUGGGAGAGGGUCCCCUAGGCCUGAGAACACCGACCUCGGGGAAUCUUUUGGGGAGUGGGAGGGAGCCAUAUAGGGAGAAAAGCAAAAUAAAAAAUAUAAGAAAAUUCAGGCGUAGACAUUGAAUUAACUCCGGAUUUUUUCUUUUUUUCGGAGAAAGGGAAAGGGGUUAAACCCAAAUUCGGGUCUGGGUUCUGGGGUUUGGGUAGGAUUCAGUGUAAGCAUAAAAAGCGGGAUGUCAGAUUAAAGUGAAGAAAAAUAAAUAGGGAAUUGUAUGUAGUCCUCUUGCUUCCCGGAGCAGCGAAGUCUAAAAUUCUCAGCUCCAGAGGCC